Non-coding RNA from Pelobates cultripes (western spadefoot toad), 524 nucleotides. The record is from the annotation of a GenBank genome assembly. NCBI's taxonomy places the organism in Eukaryota, Metazoa, Chordata, Amphibia, Anura, Pelobatidae.
UUGAGGAGGCGGUGGCCGUGUAGGUGGCAGUGGUGGUGGAGGAGGAGGUAGCCAACACUGUUUAUAAAAAAAAAAAUAUAUAUUUUAUUUUUAUUUUAAUUGGGGUAGCCCCCAAAAUAUUGGGACAUACAAAUAAGAAAACUGUUCUUUUUCAAUGUGCUCCCCAAUGAGAAGGCGACAACGCAUUCAUAUGUCAAUCCAUAUCAACUUUCGAUGCCAUUGACUGUGCCUACCAUGGUGACCACGGGUAACGCGGAUUCAGGGUUCGAUUCCGUAAAAGGACCUUGACAAACAGCUACCACAUGCAAGGAUGGCAGCAGGCGCGCAAAUGACCUACUCCUGACGCGGGAAGGUAGUGACGACAAAUAACAAUACAGGACUCUUUAGAGGCCCUGUAAUUGUAAUGAGUCAAUUUGAAAUCCUUUAACUCUGAUCAAUUGGAGGGAAGUCUGGUGCAGAGCCACUGACCCAUGCGUGCUGCAGCUGAAACUCCACUAUCGCCUGUUGCUGCUCAGUCUCUCCAG